RNAcentral lists this ribosomal RNA (253 nucleotides) under uncultured bacterium. RNAcentral describes it as "partial 16S ribosomal RNA". It matches the Rfam family "Bacterial small subunit ribosomal RNA", at positions 524 to 776 of the family's 1533-position model. The record is from RNAcentral.
UACGUAGGGGGCAAGCGUUGUCCGGAAUCAUUGGGCGUAAAGAGCGUGUAGGCGGCUCGGUAAGUCCGCUCUGAAAGCCCGGGGCUCAACCCCGGGAGGCGGGCGGAUACUGUCGGGCUAGAGUCCGGAAGAGGCGAGUGGAAUUCCUGGUGUAGCGGUGAAAUGCGCAGAUAUCAGGAGGAACACCGGUGGCGAAGGCGGGUCUCUGGGCAACAACUGACGCUGAGGAGCGAAAGCGUGGGGAGCGAACAGG